Molecule: non-coding RNA, 3283 nt
Organism: Candidatus Micrarchaeota archaeon CG1_02_51_15
Lineage: Archaea; Nanobdellati; Microcaldota
Source: Rfam
GUAGUGCUACUAGUAAAGCCGUCCAGUGAAUGGUUGGGCUCGGGUAACGAAGAAGGGCGUAGCAAGUUGCGAAAAGCCGCGGGUAGGAGCAUGCAUCCUUUGAGCCGCGGAUUCCCGAAUUGCUCGGAGACGAGUGAAGACCUGCCGAAUUGAAAUAUCUUAGUAAGCAGAGGAAAAUAAAUCAACCGAGAUUCCGUAAGUAAGGCGACUGAAACCGGAAUAGAGCAAACCGAAUGCCUCUCCGCAAGGAGGGGACGUAUGUGGUGUUAUGGACCUGUCUUUUAACGCGCGUGCACAUGAUUGAAGUGAGCUGGAAAGCUCCGUCAUAGAGGGUGAUAGCCCCGUAAGUUGUGAGUGCGCGGGUGUGACAGAGUCCGGAGUAGCGCAGCCUGAUUUGGUUGUGUGAAAUUGGGAGAAUUAACUUCCAACUCUAAAUAUACCCCGAGACCGAUAGCGUAUUUGAAGUACCGUGAGGGAAAACUGAAAAGCACCCCGAAGGGGGAGUUAAAAGUGCCUGAAAUUGGACGGCGACAGAAAGACGUGGCGUGAAAGGAAUGUGCCCCUCCUGAAACGGAGGGAGUGAACAGCGUUGCGUCGUACUUCUCGAAGCAAGAGCCAAGGAGUUCAAGGCAGUGGCGAGCAUUAUGCAAAGCGAAAGCGAAUAUCCCGCAACCGACUUAGUUCGGCGAGGGGGAGCGUCUUAACCAGCGUUAAGUCACUGUUUUGAGACCCGAAGCCGAAGCGAUCUAUGCGUGGGCAGGGCGAAGCCGCUCUUCAGAGUGGUGGAGGUCCGCAACCGGUUCUGGUCUAACCGAUCGGGUGACCUAUGUAUAGGGAUGAUAGUUCAUUCAAGCUUGGCAUUAGCGGGUUCCCUCCGAAGCGUCCCCUAGGACGGCCUUGUUGGAGGUUAACGUUAGGUAGAGCACUGAUUAGUGAGACCGGGGAGUAACAUCCUCACUCGCUUGUCAAACUCCGAAGCUAGCGUUACCUAAGAAGACAGGAGUUGGGAUGCACGAGUUAAGCGCGUGCUCCGUGAGGGGAAUGACCCCUACUGCGGUUAAGGCCCCAAAGCAUUAGCUAAGUGUAAACACAAGAGGUCGUGGUUCUCAGACAGCGGAAAGGUAGGCUCAGAAGCAGCCAUCCUUUAAACAACGCGUAACAGCGGAUCCGUCAAGAAUCAUGGCGUCGCAAACUAUCGGGACUAAGCUAAUCGCCGAUACCGUGGAACUGCAACUGCGUUGCAGGUUUGGUAGGAGGGUGUGCUGUUUGAGUAGAAGGCAGUUCGUAAGGACUGCUGGAUCGAAUAGCAACAAAGAUCUUGGUGCUAGUAGCAUCUAUUCCAGGCGAGAAUCCUGGACGCCGGAAGGGCAAGGGUUUCUAGGCAACGUUAAUCGACCUAGAGUAAGCCGAUCCUAAGGCUAAACGUAAUCGUGAUGCCAAAAGGGAAACACGUUAAUAAUCGUGUGCCUGACGAAUGCGCGCGGCAACGCAAGUCCGCUUCAGACGCUUGCGGAUAGGUCGAGCACGGGAGACCGUGUUUAACGGAGAUAGGGCGAGGAAGUCUCGUUAUGAGGAGCACUCGCGCAAAUCCGGAAUAGCCCCACAAGGGUUCGGUCAAAUCCAUGAGUACAUGAAAAGGGAGCGGAAAGUUUUUCGUCAGAUCGUACCAAGAUCCAGUACAGGUGCCCCUAGCAAAGAAAGCUAAGGCGUGGCAGGAGAACCAAGGCAAGGGAACUCGGCAAAUCAGUCCCGUACCUUCGGAAGAAGGGAUGCCUACGUUUUUCUCAAAGAUUACAUCAAUGAGGGACUCGUAGGCCGCAGUAACAAGGGGACGUCGACUGUUUAACAAAAACAUAGGUUUCCGCAAGAUGGAAACGCUGAGUACGGAAGCCGACGCCUGCUCACUGGCAGUAUCUGAACCUCCUUUUCAAGGGAGCGAAGGACUGCUAAAGAGCGGGACUAACUCUGAGUCUCUUAAGGUGAAUUAGUUGCUUUAAUAAAAUCUAGCCAUAUGCUGGAACGACCCGUUAGUAUCUCAAGCUGGCAACGGCUUGAGUGGGGUCAAUCAGCAGGAAAGGCCAAGCACGUUAAAAUGUUUGGAAUCCUCAGAGACUGUACGCUAGACUAGUGCAUAGAGCGCUGGAAGAUACAGUCCGACCCGUGCAGCGAUGUACGGAGACCGACAGAAAUGAUUCGGUCCUGCUUUUAAGUAAAAGCAGUAACAACGUGAGCGUAAUACCUCGCCGCUUAAUUGGCGGCUCGCAUGAAUGGCGUAACGAGCGUCCCACUGUCCCUGCUUUGGACCUGGUGAACCUACUACACGGUGAACAUGCCGUGGACUUCUAAGGGGAAACGAAGACCCCGUUGACCUUAACUACAGUCUGUUGUUGGCUCGCGGUUGGAGAUACAAAGCGUAAGCAGGAGCCGUUAUGUCCGUCCUUUUGGGGGCGGAAUAGGCGAAAUUGUGACACUGCUUUUUUUCGACUGCGAAUCUCACCUUAUUUUAUAAGGGACAGUUGCAGAUGGGUAGUUUGACUGGGGCGGUACGCCUUCGAUAAAAAAACAAAGGCGCCCAAAGGUAGACUCAGGCGCGUCAGAAAUGCGCUGUAGAGGGUUAAACACAAAUGUCUGCCUGACUGUGUUUUUAAGAAAAUGGAACGCAGACACGAAAGUGGGGGUUAACGAACAAUAGUGUGUCCUUUAAUGGGACCCUAUUCUGUCAGACAAGGUACCACGGGGGUAACAGGCUCGUCGCGUGCUAGAGUUCAUAUCGACCACGCGGUUUGGUACAUCGCUAUCGGCUCGGCUUAUCCUGGUGGUGCAGGAGCCACCAAGGGUUGGGUUGUUCAUCCAUUAAAGUACCUCUAGCGAGCUUUUUAGAAAAUACGGCACAGUUGAAACCUCCAGUGUAUACUGGAUAGUCUGUGCUUGUUUGAAAAGAUGUCCGCUAGAAAGUACGAUGAAAAAGCCACGUUAGUUGGGUUCAGAACGUCGCGAGACAGUUCGGUGGCAUCUCUUAGAAGUGUUUGGCAGUCUGAGGGGAAGGAUCUCUAAGUACGAGAGGAACGGGGAUUCGGCGCCUCUAGUUGAGCUGCUGUGUCAACGCAGGCAGCAUAGCCACGCGCCAGCGGAUAAGUCCUGAAAGCAUCUAAGGACGAAGCCGCUCCUAAAACGAGACUGCUUAGGCCGCCCGUAGCAGACGGGUUUGAUAGAACGGAGACGUAAACCAAGAGCGCAAGCGAUUGGCGUGUCAACCGUCACUAAAGGCCGCAAUUCUCACUUA